GUACGCGAGAAACUCGGAGGGAUCAUUACUGAGUUUACGCUCUACAAGCCUUUGUGAACAUACCUAUAACUGUUGCUUCGGCGGGUAGGGUCUCCGCGACCCUCCCGGCCCUCCCGCCUCCGGGCGGGUCGGCGCCCGCCGGAGGAUAACCAAACUCUGAUUUAACGACGUUUCUUCUGAGUGGUACAAGCAAAUAAUCAAAACUUUUAACAACGGAUCUCUUGGUUCUGGCAUCGAUGAAGAACGCAGCGAAAUGCGAUAAGUAAUGUGAAUUGCAGAAUUCAGUGAAUCAUCGAAUCUUUGAACGCACAUUGCGCCCGCCAGCAUUCUGGCGGGCAUGCCUGUUCGAGCGUCAUUUCAACCCUCAAGCUCUGCUUGGUGUUGGGGCCCUACAGCUGAUGUAGGCCCUCAAAGGUAGUGGCGGACCCUCUCGGAGCCUCCUUUGCGUAGUAACUUUACGUCUCGCACUGGGAUCCGGAGGGACUCUUGCCGUAAAACCCCCAAUUUUCCAAAGGUGACCUCGGAUCAGGCAGGAAUGCCCGCAACAUGCGGU
This 553-nucleotide ribosomal RNA is filed under the name Colletotrichum gloeosporioides. Its description in RNAcentral is "eukaryotic LSU rRNA". The stretch from base 202 to 355 matches the Rfam family "5.8S ribosomal RNA". The record is from RNAcentral. Lineage: Eukaryota; Fungi; Ascomycota; Sordariomycetes; Glomerellales; Glomerellaceae.